GCACAAGCGGUGGAGCAUGUGGUUUAAUUCGACGCAACGCGCAGAACCUUACCAGCCCUUGACAUGUCCGGGACCGGUCGCAGAGAUGUGACCUUCUCUUCGGAGCCCGGAACACAGGUGCUGCAUGGCUGUCGUCAGCUCGUGUCGUGAGAUGUUGGGUUAAGUCCCGCAACGAGCGCAACCCCCGUCCUUAGUUGCUACCAUUUAGUUGAGCACUCUAAGGAGACUGCCGGUGAUAAGCCGCGAGGAAGGUGGGGAUGACGUCAAGUCCUCAUGGCCCUUACGGGCUGGGCUACACACGUGCUACAAUGGCGGUGACAAUGGGACGCUAAGGGGCAACCCUUCGCAAAUCUCAAAAAGCCGUCUCAGUUCGGAUUGGGCUCUGCAACUCGAGCCCAUGAAGUUGGAAUCGCUAGUAAUCGUGGAUCAGCAUGCCACGGUGAAUACGUUCCCGGGC
Molecule: ribosomal RNA, 457 nt
Filed under: uncultured bacterium
Lineage: Bacteria
Description: bacterial SSU rRNA
Rfam family: Bacterial small subunit ribosomal RNA
Source: RNAcentral